AGGGGUGUAGCUCAGUGGUAGAGCACAUGCUUAGCAUGUGCAAGGCCCUGAGUUUGAACCCCAACACCACUA
This 72-nucleotide transfer RNA is filed under the name Heterocephalus glaber (naked mole-rat). It matches the Rfam family "tRNA". Rfam says of the family: Transfer RNA (tRNA) molecules are approximately 80 nucleotides in length. Their secondary structure includes four short double-helical elements and three loops (D, anti-codon, and T loops). The record is from Rfam by way of RNAcentral. Lineage: Eukaryota; Metazoa; Chordata; Mammalia; Rodentia; Bathyergidae.